AUUGAACGCUGGCGGAAUGCUUUACACAUGCAAGUCGAGCGGCAGCACGGGGGCAACCCUGGUGGCGAGCGGCGAACGGGUGAGCAAUACAUCGGAACAUGCCCAGUCGUGGGGGAUAACACUUCGAAAGAAGUGCUAAUACCGCAUACGUCCUGAGGGGGAAAGCGGGGGAUCGCAAGACCUCGCGCGAUUGGAGUGGCCGAUGUCAGAUUAGCUAGUUGGUGGGGUAAAGGCCUACCAAGGCAACGAUCUGUAGCUGGUCUGAGAGGAUGAUCAGCCACACUGGGACUGAGACACGGCCCAGACUCCUACGGGGGGCAGCAGUGGGGAAUUUUGGACAAUGGGGGCAACCCUGAUCCAGCCAUGCCGCGUGAGUGAAGAAGGCCUUCGGGUUGUAAAGCUCUUUCGGCAGGAACGAAACGGUGAGCUCUAACAUAGCUUGCUAAUGACGGUACCUGAAGAAGAAGCACCGGCUAACUACGUG
Molecule: ribosomal RNA, 484 nt
Filed under: uncultured bacterium
Lineage: Bacteria
Description: partial 16S ribosomal RNA
Rfam family: Bacterial small subunit ribosomal RNA
Source: RNAcentral